Molecule: ribosomal RNA, 408 nt
Filed under: uncultured bacterium
Lineage: Bacteria
Description: partial 16S ribosomal RNA
Rfam family: Bacterial small subunit ribosomal RNA
Source: RNAcentral
GACGAACGCUGGCGGCGUGCCUAAUACAUGCAAGUCGACCUUAGUGGCGAAAGGGUGAGUAACACGUGGGUAACCUGCCCAUCAGAAGGGGAUAACACUUGGAAACAGGUGCUAAUACAGUAUACGGAUGGAUGGACGCGCGGGGCAUUAGCGAGUUGGUGAGGGCACGGCUCACCAAGGCCACGAUGCAUAGCCGCCCUGAGCGGUGGAUCGGCCACAUUGGGACUGAGAAACGGCCCAAACUCCUACGGGAGGCAGCAGUAGGGAAUAUUGGUCAAUGGACGAAAGUCUGACCGAGCAACGCCGCGUGAGUGAAGAAGGUUUUCGGAUCGUAAAACUCUGUUGUUAGAGAAGCGGUAUCUAACCAGAAAGCCACGGCUAACUACGUGCCAGCAGCCGCGGUAAUAC